ACUCAUUACCAGUUCACAGGAGUGCCCUGUGAGUGAGCUCUUGUUGUGCAACAUCAGGCAUGGCCUGAUGGAGUGGUUGGAGGGAGGUGCGUAUUGCAAGCCGGUGUGGAAAUCAGCAGAACUGAACAUAAAAUUGGGAAAAUGAGAAACCAAAAUUAACGGAUUUGCUCAUCCCUCGUGAUGCACGGGGCAGGCGUGGGGGAAGCCCGAGCUUCCCCCGACCCCAG
Non-coding RNA from Podarcis muralis (Common wall lizard), 227 nucleotides. The record is from RefSeq and is a predicted model, not a curated record. NCBI's taxonomy places the organism in Eukaryota, Metazoa, Chordata, Lepidosauria, Squamata, Lacertidae.